CUGGGAAAUGCCGUAGCCUACUUUCUAACUACCUCUAACCACACUGACCUGUUUGUGGAGUGCCUUUCCCUGAAACUCACUCUUGAGCCAGGGAAUACCCAUUUGUCCAUUCUCCUUCCAGAGCUAAAGAGUUCUUACUACUUCAUUUCAACUCAGUUGCUGAGGAUAGGGAGAGUUGGUUAAGGUCUUGAUAUGGGUAGAAGAGCUUUGUUAACAUCCAAACAUCUAAAGACCUUGGAUGAGGGAGAUUCUUCUUCCUGAAAUGGAUAAACCCAGGCUCCAUUCAUGUGACAUACAGUCCAAUUCCCACAGUUUUUGCAGUUUCCCGGAGGCCAAUAUCUUUUUCCUACACCUUUAAAUGUAUGCAGGUUGGAGUAUAUCGUUUCACUGAGUAAGCCUUGAGAGGAGGCAUAGUUUCAAUAUAUUCACCCAUGUUGUGGAGACAUCGAGAUGCAGCUCCCAGGCAGGAUCAAUCAUGCCUCAGAUGUUCCUGGUAUCGUGGGAAUAACGAUCUUGUGGUAUCUUGCAAAGUGGAAAUUGAGGUAAUGCAUAUUCAUAUCUAUAUAAGGAUUAAUAAAGCUUGCAAAUGU
This 590-nucleotide long non-coding RNA is filed under the name Rattus norvegicus (Norway rat). RNAcentral describes it as "long non-coding RNA NONRATT032054". The record is from RNAcentral. Lineage: Eukaryota; Metazoa; Chordata; Mammalia; Rodentia; Muridae.